Long non-coding RNA from Armigeres subalbatus, 305 nucleotides. RefSeq lists it as uncharacterized. NCBI's taxonomy places the organism in Eukaryota, Metazoa, Arthropoda, Insecta, Diptera, Culicidae. The record is from RefSeq and is a predicted model, not a curated record. The transcript has 3 exons.
AGUUUGACAACGAAGCGUAUCUAGUACACCGUUGGUGUAAAAAGCAGCUUGUUUCUGCUUUAAACUUUAAUAAAAACUUAAAAACUAUCUGCAUCGGGACACUCUCGGAACAACACAAAUCGGAAAAUGGAGGAACUAAAAAAACGCAGAGUCAUUCGUAAAGCUGAACGUUGAUGGCUAAUGUGCGUUUACGGAGAAAACAUUCCUGACGAUUUGUAACAGCAAACUCAACCUCAAUACAAGCCGGAAGGAUGAUCUUGUGGUUGCUUGUCAUCCUCUAUGUGGAAGUUCGGGUGGAGGAUGAG